GCAUCUUUCAUCAAUAUCUUCUUAUGGUAGAAAAGAAACGGAUCUCCUUGGUUUUCUCACUCCAGGUUUGGAGUUGCCAUGGCUUCCAAGAUUUAUUGGGGAAGGAGAAAUGUAAUUCCUCCCAAAGAUGUAUUUUGCCAAUGGAGAUUUUUUUCUCUUAUUGAAUUCUCAUGGAUGUGUGAUAUUUUGAGCUAUUUAUUUGUUAAUUCUGACCAUCUUUUACAAAUAGUCUUGUCUGCAAAAGCUGGGGAUAUACCGUAUGUCUAUCUAUCACUUAAGUGUUUGUAUAUGUAUAUGUGGUUGUUUGUAAGUGUAUGUAAAUAUGUAUAUAGAUAUAGCCGAUGAAGUUAUUUUCACAUAUUGAUUGAUAACUAUAGUAUUUUUUAAAAAUAAAAAAUGUUAUCCCACACACACCCUUUAUUUUGCUAUUUCAAACCUGAAGUCUUUUCUUUUGUGAUGAGAUUCAGAAUUGAUUGGGCACAUGGGCCACUAUGAACCUAAAUGUCAUUUAAGGGAAACUUGGGUUAAACACUAGGAGAGUUUUUUCUUUUAAGAAAACUAAUUUGUUUAAUUGUGAAAUUCAUCGGACUUAACCAAUAUGUAUUGGACAUCAUCUGUAAGUCCAGAAGGUGACUAUUGCAGAGGGGUCUUAGUGAGAUACAAAAGAAAUCUCCAGGUUCCCAGUCCCUCAGAAAGUGUCAGCCUAGAACUGGGGCUUAAUUAUGGGGCUUCCAUAAUUUGUAUGAAAAUAAAUCAGAAUCUUUAACACAUUGCAAUCCUGUUUCCUCAUUGUUUUCCCUCUCAUUGUCAGAACUAUUUUUAACAGCCUGAAUGCAUAGAAAUCAACUGGAGCCAUGUAAUUAGAAAGUUUUCCCUCAAAGGACAAUAACAUGUAACCUGGAUUUCUCACAUAAAGUAAGCUCAACAUAUAGUUUCAGCAAAGGGAUUAAAAGACAAAAUAUACUCUUAACCUUUUUAAGGCUUCCUCAGUUAUAUAAGAUUAACAGAAUAGAAGUUCAGCCAAGGAAUCUCUGGAAAAUUGUAGUUUUGUAUUAUGAUUACUGAGAAUGAAUAGAUGGAAAAUUCCAUGCCUAACAAUGUUUUAGAGACUAUUAUCUAAUGGGGGAGAAAUAUGUGAAUAUUUAUAAGGCAGGCAAGCUGCCAGAGGAAUACUGAUAUAUUGCACGUAUGGGAUAGCCUACCUUUGCCCCACCCUUUUUGACAGUAAGUAUGAUUAUUAUAUUUAUCCUUUCCAGAUCAAUAAAGUAUACAUAGAAUACUAUGGCCACAUGAACAAAGGAAAGGAGGGCUAGCAGGUUUAAACAGAUGUUUGCAGUGUACAGUUGGUUUGAGUGUACAACCAUGAAAUUUGUUUGGAGCCUAAUUUGAUGAAAGGAGAAAUCAAGGCUUAAAAAUAUUCUUUAGCUCAGCAAUUCUACUACUAGGAACUCAUCCUAAGGAAAAGAAAUCAAAAGAAGGUACAAAGAUGAAUAUAUAAAAAUGGUUAUUGAUCAUAAGGCUUUUGUAAUAGUAAAAAAUCCCCCCAAAUAGGGAGUUAUUUAAUCAUAGUUUAUAAGCCAAGUAAAAGGUAAUUAAAAUUAGUAAAGUAGGCUGGGUGCAGGACAAUAGAGAUUAGUGGCAAAUUGGGAGUAUGGCAGGCAUGUACACAGCUCUAGAGAAGGGUUGUUUUGUUGGGAUGUUGGCUCAGGCUUGCUAAAGAUUUUAUGUAUCAAAAUAAAUUGGAAAUUAUAUUUUUGUAGGCUGUCUACCAGUUUUUGAAGUUAUAUGCAGAAAAAAAAGUCAAAGUAGUUUUGGGCCCUGAGUCUUGGGCUGCCGGUAUGCAAUAUUUUAACAAAUAACUUCCAUGAAACUCUAUAGUGGGACAAAAUGCCAUUACUAAAAAUGAUGCUAUAAUUGUAUCUUUAUUGACCUAUAAAGAUGCUCCAGAUGUUGAAAAGUAGCAUGUGUAAUAUGAUCCUGGUUUUUGCACAUACAUUUAACAUAUAUUUGUUACAUUUGUAUGCAGAGGGAAAAGGCUUGCAUUAUAUCCACUUAAAUCAUCAUGUCUGUCUCUGGGUAAGGGAUUCGGGGACAUUUUUAUUUUGUAUUUUCUACUUUUCUUCUACAGAAAUUAAAAAAGCACUAAAGCUGUUGGGAAAAAAUUAAUGAGUUCAGAAAUCAGUUUGAUAAAGAUGUUUUAUAUUACUAGUAAGAUUAUUUUCCAAAAGGCUACCAGAGUUAUGAAGAUAAAUAAGAUGGAGUCUCUUCCCCCUAGGAGUCCACAGUCUAAUGAGAAUCUCCCAGUGUUACCUUUUAAUAGUGUAACUUAGAAAUGUAAUCAUGGAAUAAAAUAAGGACACAAGAACAAAGGAAUUUAGAAAUUGGAAAAACUGCAAUUUUUCCAUUUUUGUGGCCUGAUUUAGAAUGCCAGGAUAGUAAAAUUUCAGGAAUCUAUAUCUUUGUAGAAUUGUACUUGAUUUUAACUGGAAAAUUGUCAUAACUUAGAACUAUUAAAAAUACAGAUGAAAAUUAAAUACUAACAGUUUUACCAGAAAAAUUACAGUGAUUUAUGUGAUUUGUUUUCUUGGAAUUCCAAAAAUAAUUAGGUAAAUGCCAUGUUCCAAAUACAAUGGUUCUUCCUAAAGCAGGUUUGUCUUGGACAAAAUCUAAAGUUUAGUUGCCAGAAAUCUUCCUCAUCAUUAAAAGGUGUUAAAAGUGGCACAGAUCCCAAAGAUAACACUUUCAGGAGACUUUAGUGUAUUUUCUACUGUAAUAAAAAAUACUGAAGAGAUUAAAUAAAUAAAAUUUUCAGCUAUUUAAAUUUUAUUUUAGCCUUAUAAAAGCAUCUUGUAGAACCUCACAUGAAGCAUUGAGGACAAUGAAAAUAUAUAAAUAGAGCAGUCAUAUGCAAAAUGUAACAUGAGCUGACAUGAUGAAAUGUGCUAGUGACAUAAAAUGAUGGUGGGAGAUGCUAGGUGUAAACGAUGGGAUAAAACUAAGGAAACUGGCUGACUAGAAGUAGCAUAUGUAAAUGUGUAUCUGUAAUUCAAUAUAUAGAAAUGUAAUGACCCUAGACUCUAAAUUUAAAAGGAAUGUGCUGUCAGUAGCCAUAUGCUACAAAACAUUUAAGAGAAAAAGAAUCUCUGGGUAGAUUGGUAGAUUCUUUUGUAGAAAAGCACAUAAAAGUUUCUGCAUAGGUUUUCAUAACAAUACCCACCCCCCCCAAACAAUUCCAAGAGGCACUAAUGAAAGCAUCAGAUUUGGAGUUCCCCUCAUGGCACUGUGGUUAAUGAAUCCGACUAGGAACCAUGAGGUUGCGGGUUCUGUCCCUGCCCUUGCUCAGUGGGUUAACCAUCUGAGUGAGCUGUGGUGUAGGUUGCAGACGCGGCUCGGAUCCCGCAUUGCUGUGGCUCUGGCAUAGGCCAGCAGCUACAGCUCCGAUUCGACCCCUAGCCUGGGAACCCCCAUAUGCCGCGGGAGCGGCCCAAGAAAUAGCAAAAAGACAAAAUAAAUAAAUAAAUAGAUAAAAAUAAAAAAGUAAAAAUAAAAGCAUCAGAUUUAAGUAGAGGGAAUUAUAAAAGGAUUUUUAAAAAUGUCACUGGGAUUAUGUAGAGAAAAUCAUAUACACUUUUGUGUUUUACUUUAAAAACAGAGAAACAAUAAAGCUUAGAAAAAGUAUGUAAU
RNAcentral lists this long non-coding RNA (3684 nucleotides) under Sus scrofa (pig). RNAcentral describes it as "lncRNA (ENSSSCG00000058252.1)". The record is from RNAcentral. Lineage: Eukaryota; Metazoa; Chordata; Mammalia; Artiodactyla; Suidae.